UACAGAGGUCCCGAGCGUUGUUCGGAUUCAUUGGGCGUAAAGGGUGCGUAGGCGGUUUGCUAAGUUUGAUGUGAAAUCCCGGGGCUUAACCCCAGGACUGCAUUGAAUACUGGCGGACUAGAGUACUGGAGAGGAAACUGGAAUUUACGGUGUAGCAGUGAAAUGCGUAGAGAUCGUAAGGAAGACCAGUGGCGAAGGCGAGUUUCUGGACAGUUACUGACGCUGAGGCACGAAGGCCAGGGGAGCAAACGGG
This 253-nucleotide ribosomal RNA is filed under the name uncultured bacterium. RNAcentral describes it as "partial 16S ribosomal RNA". It matches the Rfam family "Bacterial small subunit ribosomal RNA", at positions 524 to 776 of the family's 1533-position model. The record is from RNAcentral. RNAcentral also lists the same sequence under 1 other name.